GACCGUACCGCAAACCGACACUGGUGGGCGAGCUGAAUAUGCUCAGGCGCUUGAGAGAACUCAGGAGAAGGAACUCGGCAAAUUGACACCGUAACUUCGGGAUAAGGUGUGCCUUUGUAGCGUGGAGGGAGAAACACCCCGAGCGCGAAGAGGUCUCAGAUAAUCGGUGGCUGCGACUGUUUAUUAAAAACACAGCACUCUGCAAAGACGAAAGUCGACGUAUAGGGUGUGAUGCCUGCCCGGUGCUGGAAGAUUAAUUGAUGGGGUGCAAGCUCCUGAUCGAAGUCCCAGUAAACGGCGGCCGUAACUAUAACGGUCCUAAGGUAGCGAAAUUCCUUGUCGGGCAAGUUCCGACCUGCACGAAUGGCAUAACGAUGGCCACACUGUCUCCUCCUGAGACUCAGUGAAGUUGAAGUGUUUGUGAUGAUGCAAUCUCCCCGCGGCUAGACGGAAAGACCCCAUGAACCUUUACUGUAGCUUUGCAUUGGACUUUGAACCGAUCUGUGUAGGAUAGGCGGGAGCCUGUGAAACCACAACGCCAGUUGUGGCGGAGGCGUCCUUGAAAUACCGCCCUGAUUUGUUUGAGGUUCUAACCUGGGACAGUCAUCCUGUCCGGGGACCGUGCAUGGUAGGCAGUUUGACUGGGGCGGUCUCCUCCUAAAGGGUAACGGAGGAGUGCGAAGGUACGCUAGGUACGGUCGGAAAUCGUGCUGAUAGUGCAAUGGCAAAAGCGUGCUUGACUGCGAGACCCACAAGUCGAGCAGAUACGAAAGUAGGUCAUAGUGAUCCGGUGGCUCUGUAUGGAAGGGCCAUCGCUCAACGGAUAAAAGGUACUCUGGGGAUAACAGGCUGAUACCGCCCAAGAGUUCAUAUCGACGGCGGUGUUUGGCACCUCGAUGUCGGCUCAUCUCAUCCUGGGGCUGUAGCCGGUCCCAAGGGUAUGGCUGUUCGCCAUUUAAAGAGGUACGUGAGCUGGGUUUAAAACGUCGUGAGACAGUUUUGUCCCUAUCUGCCGUGGGCGCUGGAAGAUUGACGGGGGCUGCUCCUAGUACGAGAGGACCGGAGUGGACUCACCUCUGGUGUACCGGUUGUCACGCCAGUGGCAUCGCCGGGUAGCUAUGUGGGGAAAGGAUAACCGCUGAAAGCAUCUAAGCGGGAAACCUGCCUGAAGAUAAGUCUUCCUGGAGGCUAGACCUCCCUAAAGAGUCGUUCGAGACCAGGACGUUGAUAGGAUGGGUGUGUAAGUGCUGUGAGGCACUCAGCUAACCAUUACUAAUUGCUCGUGAAGCUUGAUCC
RNAcentral lists this ribosomal RNA (1296 nucleotides) under human gut metagenome. RNAcentral's name for it is "bacterial LSU rRNA". It matches the Rfam family "Bacterial large subunit ribosomal RNA", at positions 1640 to 2925 of the family's 2925-position model. The record is from RNAcentral.